Molecule: long non-coding RNA, 617 nt
Organism: Dermacentor silvarum
Lineage: Eukaryota; Metazoa; Arthropoda; Arachnida; Ixodida; Ixodidae
Exons: 4
Source: RefSeq, a predicted model, not a curated record
ACAAAACUCUGCACGCUGCGGCAUCGAAGUCCUGUGUACGGGUGCACGUAUGCGCUUGGAUACGGGAUAGCCUGCCCUCAACGGAUGUUCAACAGUGUACGCACGCUGCGCGUACGCGUACGUAUGAGACUAGUUGCUGGUGUCCUGCUGGAGCUGAGAAGAGAUCUGCUGCCUGCCAUGAGGCCAUGUCUCUCAAGUUACCGCAAUAUUGUUGCCUUCAAACCUGUCGAGACAAGGUUUCUUUACAUGGCCAUGGCGCUCAAGGAAGAAAGCGAGACUGUAGACUGCCAACGUUCAUUCCUGUUCCGGCAAAGACGGGCCAGCAGUAACCAGCAGGAUUUUACAAAGUGAACUCAUCACAGCUUGAGCCACUCCAUGCCACAAGCAGUUGCUCCUCGAGCCACCGUGCAAAGGUUCCUUGGGGCACAAGUCCAACUCAGCGCCACAACCUUUCUUCUGCAGUUUUUCUACCUACUUAGCUAACCAGCAGCAAGUUUAUCCUUGCAAGGCAUGUGGGAACAGCUUUCACCAGGAAACAGUGCAAGACGAGUGGUCAAAGAAAAUAAAAUUGCUUCUGUGAUCUAAAGUACUUGACGAAUAAAAUUUUGCACUUAUUU